Molecule: ribosomal RNA, 465 nt
Filed under: Vreelandella stevensii
Lineage: Bacteria; Pseudomonadati; Pseudomonadota; Gammaproteobacteria; Oceanospirillales; Halomonadaceae
Description: partial 16S ribosomal RNA
Rfam family: Bacterial small subunit ribosomal RNA
Source: RNAcentral
CCUACGGGUGGCAGCAGUGGGGAAUAUUGGACAAUGGUGGGAACCCUGAUCCAGCCAUGCCGCGUGUGUGAAGAAGGCCCUCGGGUUGUAAAGCACUUUCAGUGAGGAAGAACGCCUGGUGGUUAAUACCCAUCAGGAAAGACAUCACUCACAGAAGAAGCACCGGCUAACUCCGUGCCAGCAGCCGCGGUAAUACGGAGGGUGCGAGCGUUAAUCGGAAUUACUGGGCGUAAAGCGCGCGUAGGUGGCUUGAUAAGCCGGUUGUGAAAGCCCCGGGCUCAACCUGGGAACGGCAUCCGGAACUGUCAAGCUAGAGUGCAGGAGAGGAAGGUAGAAUUCCCGGUGUAGCGGUGAAAUGCGUAGAGAUCGGGAGGAAUACCAGUGGCGAAGGCGGCCUUCUGGACUGACACUGACACUGAGGUGCGAAAGCGUGGGUAGCAAACAGGAUUAGAUACCCGUGUAGUC